CCCCCCCCCCAUAAGAGGUCCAGCCUGCCCAGUGACUCAGUUCAACGGCCGCGGUAACCUAACCGUGCGAAGGUAGCGUAAUCACUUGUCUUCUAAAUAAAGACUAGUAUGAAAGGCAUCACGAGAACUCAACUGUCUCCUUUUUUCAAUCAGUGAACCUAAUCUCCCCGUGAAAAAGCGGGAAUUUACAAAUUAGACGAGAAGACCCUAUGAAGCUUUAAACACUAAUCAAUUGCUAACAUUACCAACCCCUGGCCCCAAAUUUAUGCACCGUGAUUACAUGUUUUUGGUUGGGGUGACCGCGGAAAAUAACCUAACCUCCACAAUGAAAACCCUCAAGCCACAACUUUAAGUAUCAACAAAUUGACAUCCAUUGACCCAAUAUAUUUGAUUAAUGAAC
Molecule: ribosomal RNA, 400 nt
Filed under: Pristimantis fenestratus (Rio Mamore robber frog)
Lineage: Eukaryota; Metazoa; Chordata; Amphibia; Anura; Strabomantidae
Description: partial large subunit ribosomal RNA
Rfam family: Bacterial large subunit ribosomal RNA
Source: RNAcentral